UUGGAUGUAAGCAGAGGCCUUGCCGUGGUCGAGGUCUCCUAGGCAGGUUUAUCUGCUUUGAGAUGUGCCAUAGUUUGAGAGGUAAGCUCUGGUGAUUCAAUUUUUUUGGCCGUCUAGGCAUCUUUGUUACAUGGAAUUAGGUAUCUUAGAUAAAGAACUACUAUCAAAUAAAAUAUGCAUAUGAGUUUCCAUAUCUCUUGGUUAUUUAUAUAUGUGUUACAUAUUAUUCCUAACCAAUUACUUAGUAUUACUUAGAGUGUGUUUGUUUGGGCUACAAUUUCAAUGCCUACAGCUGAAGGAGCGACUGUAGCUGCAGAGAGGCUUCAGAGCAUGAUAACAUUGUUUAUGAGAAAAAUCCACGACGGACUGAUAACCUACUUCUUCUAGGAAGUAUCUACUGUAAGUUUAUGACUUGGUGCUAGCUGAAGCUUGCAUUUUCUACCAAAACUGCUAUUAACAAAAGAACUCUAGCGACCCAGGAUUUUAUCCUUAACUGCUAUUAAACUCACAAGAGGGAGCAUUUUAAUAACAAAAGAACUCUAUCCAUGCUUUCUGAUAUACUGUGUAUAUGCGUGAUGUACUAGCAGUUCCUAUUUUUUGACUAUUGCGUACCAGAAAAAUGAAUUGGUAAUGUCUGUAUAAAUAUGAUGUAUUGAAUUAUGUUAUGAGAGGGAUUUGUUCAUUUCAAAACUAAGGAAGUUGUCAGUUCAAAAAAAUACUAAGGAAGUUGGAUGAGCUUAAAGCGCCUAUUCAGAAGUUAACUGAACUUUUCUAAUUGUAUUUUAAAUCCACAAGAGGGUAAAAUCAAUGCUCUUUCCCAGAUCAUCUAAAUCAGAUGGAUGGGCUCCAAACUCCCAGUGCCGUUUGUCGUUUUUGUGUUAUAACUUUUUACUUGAUUGCCUUUGGACAUAUGGUACUAUGGAGAGGUGACAUUAGCACAAUUGAUGGUUGUUUGUCCUCCCCUAUCAACCACAUCUGCUGACUCUAUAUGUUGAUAUAUCAACAAAACAAGAUAUCAUUGUUUUAUGGAGUUAACAGAUUAUUGAAGAUUUUUGCUGCCAUGGAAUUGUGAGUUUGUGACUAUACAUUCUUGUCCUACAUGUGAGUUGAAGAUAUAUUGUCUCUGUAUGUGAAUAUAAAUAUCCAGGUAUGUAAGCAAGUCCUAACAUUUAUUUACAUAUUUAUCAAUGAAAUGCAUCCAAGCAAGUCACAUCUUACAUACAAUUGCCCACUUAUAGGUAAAUUUGAUGAUUCAUAAAUUAACCGGUUGGAGAUCGGUAGGCAGUCAAGUGUAUUGAUAACUGGAGUUUAGAGCUCAAAAUCCUUCUAACUUCUCUACUAACUGUAUUUUCUUGACAGCUUCCAGAGAAGAACAAAUACUGUUAGUCAUUCUCUGGCAUGUAUAAUACAAUACUAGAGAUGUGAAUGGAUGUAGUUCAUUUAGUAGAGUAUUAGUAGAUGAUGAUUUCUUUUCUUCAGAGUCAACUGGUGUAUAUGCUGAUAUGUUUAGUCUGUUCCAAAAUUAAUUUGUAAAGUAGCCUGAACAAUUGUACAGUCUCUCUGUGUAUCAGUACUUUGUUUUUGGGCAACUUGAAGAAAUCAGUUUCUCAUGACAUGUGAAAAUGAGUUUAUUUACCUUAACUGUUGCUUUUAUUAGUUAAGAAAGAUGUUUGUGAGAUAGUCAUCACAGUGAAGCUUGGCGAAGGGACUUCUGGUGAGGCCUACAAGGCUGGAAGCACUGCAUGUAAAGUGGUACCCUCUCAUGGAUACUCAUUUGUCAACUAAUAGAUGGCCAUACUAGAGGCACAUGCAGCGCGCACACAAGGACCCUAACAGGUUGUAAAUGUGUACGUGGACAAUCUUUAAAUACCUAGAUUAUUAUUAUUUAAAUACCUG
Molecule: long non-coding RNA, 1896 nt
Filed under: Triticum aestivum (bread wheat)
Lineage: Eukaryota; Viridiplantae; Streptophyta; Magnoliopsida; Poales; Poaceae
Description: long non-coding RNA (TAES_LNC003861)
Source: RNAcentral